GGCCCGAGGCCAGGAGAGGGAGUAGCCAGGCCAGGGGAUGGAAGAUGGAUGGGUUGGCCGGGCUCCAGGGCAGGUGUGAUUGUCCCUCCGCCAUUUGGCACCUCCCUUCUGCUGCAGAUAGAGCUGGCUCCUGCUGUUCCCCAGGCGUCUGCCUGGGCGUCCCUCACUGUCCCCACCCCAGCCCGCACCCCACUUCCCAUGCUCUCCUGUAGCUCUGAGCCUGGCUGCUGCGCUCAGACUUCCUGUAUAAACCUGCACGGAAUGGCUGAGACCUGCCGGGUCCAACUCUAGUUUCAUACUCUGGAGAUGCACGGGCCCCGCUGGCGCACGCUGGGUUGGUUCUUGGUGAGGCAGAAACUCCCAGGAAGGGAAGCGGCUCUGAGAAGCCCAGGCCUGACCUCCCUGGUCACUCGCGGGAGGAGAGUGGACUGCGCCCGCUCCCCGCACCCUGGCACUGGGCUGGGACCGGCCCUCGAGUGGCACCAGUGGCCUCAUCUCCUCUCAGGCUUCUCCUGCUCAGUAAAUGCAGCCGAUGAAACAGAGGACAAAAGUCGGAAAAUCCCGAUGGGCUGAGACAGCCUGGCUGCCUCCUUCUCGGGAGAGGUGGCCUUCGUGGGGCCUAAGCAGGUGGCUUCCUGGCCCCGACAUCUGGUCUGUGUGGCCAGGACCCGUGGGGGCGGGCGGCAUUUGUGCCCAUUGCUCGUGGGUCAGCUGAGGCGGGGAUAGCCGGGCCCAAAGCACGCAGCUGGGAAGCGCCAGCCUGGGCUCAGCGGGUGGCCCCAGCUCUGCAGCCACGGCCCAGGGGAGAGGUGGCAGCACCGGGCAGGAGAGUGACAGGGUCAUGUCUCUUUCACCUAAUUUGCCCCUGGUGGCAUUGCACGUGGCUGUGGCCACUGUCACAACCACGGCCCUGAUGCCAACCACUCCCCUCUCCCUGCCACUGCACUCCACAUCUGAUCUUUCCGGCCCAGGUGUCCAUCCCACAAGGCGACAGGUGUCCAGGUGUCCAGCGCCUGUGUCCAGGGGCCGGGCUGCAAGAAACGCCGCCUGCUCUGGACAUUUUGUGCAGGUGAAAGUAUGUAAUGUGCAGUCUUUUCAUCGGCUCCUUUCACUUCUAAAUGACUUUAAAGGCUCCUUCCUGCUGUGCGUGCUCAGAAUGCCCCUGCUGAGCCUACACCACUGUGCGAC
RNAcentral lists this long non-coding RNA (1188 nucleotides) under Heterocephalus glaber (naked mole-rat). Its description in RNAcentral is "lncRNA (ENSHGLG00000046039.1)". The record is from RNAcentral. Lineage: Eukaryota; Metazoa; Chordata; Mammalia; Rodentia; Bathyergidae.